Molecule: ribosomal RNA, 317 nt
Filed under: uncultured Treponema sp.
Lineage: Bacteria; Pseudomonadati; Spirochaetota; Spirochaetia; Treponematales; Treponemataceae
Description: partial 16S ribosomal RNA
Source: RNAcentral
GGAGUCUGGGCCGUAUCUCAGUCCCAAUGUGUCUGCUCACCCUCUCAGGCCAGAUACCCGUCAUUGCCUUGGUGGGCUUUUACCCCGCCAACAAGCUGAUGGGACGCAGGCCGUUCCUUCGGCGCGGCCAAAGCCGCUUUCCUCGGUGGCUUCCAAGACCACCGACCUUAUUCGGUAUUACCCGGUAUUUCUACCGGCUAUCCCCAUCCAAAGGGUACGUCACCAACGUGUUCCUCACCAGUCCGCCACUCUAGGAAAGUGCAAGCACUUUCUUGCCGUCCGACUUGCAUGCUUAAGACCCGCCGCCAGCGUUCAUU